Long non-coding RNA from Spinacia oleracea (spinach), 1687 nucleotides. RefSeq lists it as uncharacterized. The transcript is spliced from 4 exons. The record is from RefSeq and is a predicted model, not a curated record. Lineage: Eukaryota; Viridiplantae; Streptophyta; Magnoliopsida; Caryophyllales; Amaranthaceae.
GUGACAUUAUUGAUGAUUUUUAUGUUGUUAAGUGGUUAACGAUGUUAACGGUAGUUCCUAUUUACACCCAAAACUACUUCAGAACACCAUAAGUUUGAUCCAAAGUUAAAGGUAAGUCAACUGAAAUUUAUAAAACUUGUUAUCCAGCACAGUACUGAAUACGCCUCUCGAUCAUCGUCCAUCAUAUCGAAGCACAUAUAGUUCAUCAAACUCAAAACCAAACCCAAAUAUAAAAUUUAACAAACGGAAAAAAAAAAAAAAACUCAAUCAAUUAGUAAAUGUUUCUAUCUUUCUCGAUUAAUUGAACAUCAAGACUACCAAAUUCCUUUAAAAUCCUAAAUUUUCGUAUAAAGUCAGAUUAAACCAAAUGAUAGAUAACCUGAAACGAGAUGGUGUUUGGCGAAUUAUGGAGAUCGAUUCACGAACUCACCGCCGUGCCCGCCAUUAAUGGGAUAUUGAUGUUUGUGAUUUUGAAUGCGAGUAUUUGGGGUUACGGGGUUUCGCUCGUCUUUGCCGGAGAUUGUGAAGGUGGAGAUGAUGGUCAUUGACUGACAAUAGUUGGAUACAAUGAAAGAAGAAGAUGAAUAUGCUUGUUUGAGUAACUAGUUGUUGGAUAGCGCGCACGAUCUCUUAAGGUUGAAGUAUGGCGUGGCGACGCAAGUUCGAAGCAAGAACUGGACGAUUCCGACGCUGAGUUCGUUGAGGUUGAUCCGAAUAAUCGCUACGGUAGGGUGAACUCAGCUGAAACAUCUUCCUGCAAAAAUAUUCACGGAUGGCCUCGAUAACAGUGCCCUUCAAUGAGUUCGUGAGAUAUUUCGUAUUCUUCUUCUUCCUCCCCUUUUCUUUUCUUUUUUUUUUGUUAAUUUUUUUUUGUGUUAUUUUUUGUGUGUCUGAUUUUUUUUUUUAAUUUUUAAUAUUGCUAAUUUUGCAUUUUAUGGGGUAUUAUUUUUUGAGAGUCUGAUUUGAAUUUUGAUGAAGUUUUAAUUUUAUACUUUUUAGUGCUCUUUCAAAAAAAAAAAAAAACAUUCUGGGUAUGAUUUGAAUUUUUGUAAUGUUAUAAAAUUUGCGAUUUAUAUUUUGAAUUUUUGUAAUGUUACAAAAUUUGCAAUUUAUAUUUUGAAUUUUUGUAAUGUUAUAAAAUUUGCAAUUUACUCUUUUUUAAUCUCAUAAAUUGAAAAUAUGAUGGAAGAAUUUCCUUCAUAUUGAUAAAGAGUGUAGAUAAAUUAGGAUUUCAUGCAAUGCAGAUAUUUUGAAAUGAUUUCGGUUUAUUAUGGAAGCUGCUGAUUCCUCCUGCCAUUAGAAUUUUAGGAGUGGGAAUUUCGUUGGGUUUUCAUUUUUUGUUAUUGGACCUUAUUUAGAUUAUCUGAGUAUAUUGUAUUGAGUUUAUUUGAAACAUUAAUUUUGUGUUCUUAAAGGAAAUAGAUGUUUCCACGUUGCGUCUUUGAUAUACCACACUCACAAAACAUUAUUGUAGGGGGUUUUUUUGUGCUAAUACUUUUCUCCUACGAGAAAUGGCUUGGAGCUUUGUAUGUUUUUGGAUUUCGAAGGAGUCGCCACCAAACAAUUUUAAGGGUCCCGUUUGAAAAGACCAAAGUUGACUCUUUAGUGGAUAAGGCAUUGAAUCUUAGAAACGGAUGGGUGAGAUCCGGGCAAGGGAACGAGAUGCUUAUUCCGCGAGCCUUAAAAA